Trifolium pratense (red clover) is the source of this 1710-nucleotide long non-coding RNA. RefSeq lists it as uncharacterized. The transcript is spliced from 3 exons. Lineage: Eukaryota; Viridiplantae; Streptophyta; Magnoliopsida; Fabales; Fabaceae. The record is from RefSeq and is a predicted model, not a curated record.
CAUGCAGUAAAGCCCAAAUUACGUAUACAAACCCUAAACCCUAAAUUGAAGAUACAAACAUUUGUUAAAUAACAUGCUGCGGCAGCCACUUCUGUCUAAAAGCUUGCUUCUUCUAGAUUCUGCUUUUUGCAUAUCAUGCUGCAGUUUUCUUUUUAUUGUCAAUCUCCGUUCAAAAAUUGCUCAAUCACCUGAUAAAUUAUUGGUAUUCUUUUCUUUUCAUUGGCAACUGAUUUAAUGAACAGAAAAAGGAUUUAUCAGGCCGAAGAAGUUGUGAAGAAGUUGUGAAGAUAAUGUUCUCCUUCACUUCAAAAAAUUUACUUGCAAUUUAAGAUUUUGAUUAUGUUGCAGUUUAGAUUAGCUUUUUUUUUGACACAUGUUUAGAUCAGCUUUUAAAUUAUAUAGGUUUCUUAAUUAAAACUAGUUUAUGAUUGUUCAUUUAUUUUUAAAAUGCUUAAACUUGUAGAUAUUCAUAAAGAUAUCAAAUGAAAGAGCUUCUAAAAUAAAUAAAAUUAAGAUGCAAAAAGUGUUGAUUGAUACAAAUUAUAAGCAAUAAAUAUUUGUUACUUUUUUUUUUCCUGAUUACAUUUGAAAUGUUUAUACUCUAUAUAUCAUGUUGGGUUAUUAUUGAUUGGCAUUGUAGUACAUAUACAGGUCUAUUUAUUCGUUUCUCUCCAGAGGAUUGUUGGUUGCGUGGUUGCAGAACCGAUCAAUGAAGCAUUCAGAAUUGUGUCUUGCUCGGUUGUUGAGGAUUCUGCAAGAAAAAGGGAAAAGAAGCCUUGUCCAACCACUCUACAGUUUGGGGAUAUUGUAAGCUGUGAAUGUGAGUAAUUCUGAGGAUAUUGUUGAGGAAUGUGAGUCACUGUGAAAGCAAUCCUGUUGCUGCUGUUUGUGGCAUUAUAGCCAUUUGGGUCACUCCCUCCAACAGAAGAAAACACAUUGCUAGCCAGAUACUGGAUGCUGUGAGGAAAAGUUUCUGCAACCGGCAUGGAGUUUGAACAUGCACAGCUAGCAUUCUCUGUACCAACCUCAGUUGGUAAGGCCUUUGCACAUAGUUACACUAGUACUGGAUCAUUCUUGGUGUAUAAAGAAGCGCAACCGGGAAGUAGAAACAGUUGUGGAAUUAGUGAGUCUUGUGUCAUAGAAAUGUAGAUAGCAUACUCUUCUCUUUCUGUCAGAAAAUGUUUAGGAAAAACAUUUGCCGCCGGUGGUGUAAUGGUUGUUGAGUGAGAGAUUUCAUUAGGCCUACCACCUUUAACGAGCACCGCAGAAUUAUAGGGAUGAUUGAUUUUCUUUUGAAGAAUACAUACAAAGCUUAAUUCUUGUAGGUUGUACACAGCAUAAAUGACAAGUUUAGUGUCUAAAAUAAUAGUGGUUAACAAUUUGAUAAAAUUUUAAAAUAACAUCUGAAAUUAAGUGUGUUCAACCAAAUUACAAUUUGAGACAAUUUCAGAGAUGAUACAAACAUAAUACAUUGAUUUUAAUGGAUGUUUUUUUCUAAUUCUGACAUGGUAGUUCUGUGGUGUAUUGGUUCAGUGUGUAUAGCUUUAACCUUUGUCAAGAUAAUAGCUAUGCUGUUACAGUCCUUAUCUAGCUAUGAAGUACUUGUGAGCUGGGAUUAAGCAUGUUAAUAUUCAUGUGUCACAUUUGUUCAGUUAUUUUAUUUUUGUGUUAACCAUCCGAUUCCUAGGAGAAGGGAUUCUAGUAAUUUGA